This 253-nucleotide ribosomal RNA is filed under the name uncultured prokaryote. Its description in RNAcentral is "partial 16S ribosomal RNA". It matches the Rfam family "Bacterial small subunit ribosomal RNA", at positions 524 to 776 of the family's 1533-position model. The record is from RNAcentral.
UACGUAGGAGGCAAGCGUUAUCCGGAUUCAUUGGGCGUAAAGUGUGCGUAGGCGUUCCGUAAAGUCGAUACUUAAAGACCAAGGCUUAACCUUGGGACUGGUGUCGAUACUCACGGAAUUGAGGAUUGAUCGGGGAGCUGGAACAGUUAGUGUAGCAGUGAAAUGCGUUGAUAUUAACUGGAACACCAAGGGCGAAGGCAGGCUCCUGGGUUUUUCCUGACGCUGAGGCACGAAAGCUAGGGUAGCGAAACAG